RNAcentral lists this ribosomal RNA (372 nucleotides) under uncultured organism. RNAcentral describes it as "bacterial SSU rRNA". It matches the Rfam family "Bacterial small subunit ribosomal RNA", at positions 526 to 896 of the family's 1533-position model. The record is from RNAcentral.
CAGAGGGGGCAAGCGUUGUUCGGAAUUACUGGGCGUAAAGGGCGCGUAGGCGGCCUUCUAAGUCAGACGUGAAAUCCCCGGGCUCAACCCGGGAACUGCGUCUGAUACUGGAAGGCUUGAAUCCGGGAGAGGGAUGUGGAAUUCCAGGUGUAGCGGUGAAAUGCGUAGAUAUCUGGAGGAACACCGGUGGCGAAGGCGGCAUCCUGGACCGGUAUUGACGCUGAGGCGCGAAAGCCAGGGGAGCAAACGGGAUUAGAUACCCCGGUAGUCCUGGCCCUAAACGAUGAAUGCUUGGUGUGGCGGGUAUCGAUCCCUGCCGUGCCGAAGCUAACGCAUUAAGCAUUCCGCCUGGGGAGUACGGUCGCAAGGCUG